Molecule: long non-coding RNA, 1171 nt
Filed under: Ananas comosus (pineapple)
Lineage: Eukaryota; Viridiplantae; Streptophyta; Magnoliopsida; Poales; Bromeliaceae
Description: long non-coding RNA (ACOM_LNC030926)
Source: RNAcentral
AAUUAAAUAACGCUAGAAUUAUGACGAGAUUUGAACUUAGUAUUUUCCAUUCUUGUAUCGUAUUAAGUGAUGCAAAAUAAUUUUUUUUCUCCAAAAGUUUAAGCCACUCUAAAAGCUUAAGCUAUUAAAGAAUGUUGUUUAAACAUUUUUAUAUUUAACACUCUCCCUCACGUCUGGGCUCAAGACUUUUUAAUCGGCCCAUGACGUGGGCUUGUAUUAAAUGGGAGGAAAUUAAUAUGUUAGGAGCCUGGCGUGACUCGAACUCAGAACCUUCUGCUCUGAUACCAUGUGAAACAAUCGUUGUACUCUGAAAGCUUAAGCUGUUAGAGAACGGUGUUUAAACAUUUUUAUAUUUAACACUCCCCCUCAUUUCGAGACUUUUUAAUCGGCCCAUAACGUGGGCUUGAAUUAAAUGGGAGAAAAUUAAUAUGCUAGGAGCCUGGCGUAACUCGAACUCAGGACCUCCUGUUCUGAUACCAUGUAAAACAACCGUUGUACUCUAAAAGCUUAAGCUGUUAGAGAACGAUGUUUAAACAUUUUUAUAUUUAACAAGCUUAAUUAAAUUUGCAAUUAUGAUUUCUAUCUCAGUAUCUCAUCCAGCUAUGCUAAGAUGAAUUGGUAAAUGCGAUUUUUUCUUAAAUAUGAGAAUUGAGGGGAACAUAAAAAUAAAAUAAAAUAAAAUUAAAAUUUGGGUUAAUAUGAAAUUUCAAUCCCAGAACUACAGUAUCCUUUUCUUUUCUUUUUUUUUACUACCUCAGGCUUUGAGACAUUUCGAAAUCGAGAAGCUUUUCGGCGGAAACGAAACAGUUUAAUAAUCCUUUGUGGUUCCGAUUGAGACUAGAUCAGUGUGUCGUUGGGUCAAAAUGUCCCGAAUCUUUGCACCGUUUCUCAAUUUGGUCCUCCAACAUUUUUUUUGUGCAGUCGAGUCUCUAAUUUCUAGAUUUUAUUACAAUUACAUCCCAGCUGCUAAAAAAGAUGUUAAAAUUAACAGAAUCAGCACAUCAGCGCCUACUUGGCUUUCUUUUGCAUGUCAAUUUCAGCCCAUAAACUUUACACAUUUUAACUUUAGUCCACAAAAAAAAAAUUUAAAUUUUAAAUUUUAAAUUUAAAUUAAAAAUUAAUAUUAAAAUUAAAAUUCUAAACUAACAAGAAAUUAGAAUUUUGAAUUUAA